GGAGGGUUGGCAGAGCGGUUGAAUGCGCCGCACUCGAAAUGCGGUUUCCCCGAAACGGGAUCACAAGUUCAAAUCUUGUACCCUCCGCCA
This 90-nucleotide transfer RNA is filed under the name Candidatus Moraniibacteriota bacterium. RNAcentral describes it as "tRNA-Ser". It matches the Rfam family "tRNA". From Rfam's summary of the family: Transfer RNA (tRNA) molecules are approximately 80 nucleotides in length. The record is from RNAcentral. Lineage: Bacteria; Candidatus Moraniibacteriota.